AGUCCCUAAAGCAAAAGGCUGUUUAUUCUUGUUCUGUUCCAGGAUCAAUUCCAGCGCAUAAGAUUGUCCUUGUUGCACAAAAAUGACUGCAAUUUCACUCUAACACAGGCAAGAAGCAUUACACUACAACCAAGAAAAGUAAGAAAUGACCAGUUUUAACUGCCCAAAUGACACCAGAUAAUUGAACUCAUAUUGGAGCCUAUUCAGUCUUCAGGGCCUGCCUGAUGCUCUACUGCAGCCACCACCACCUCCCGGAAA
RNAcentral lists this long non-coding RNA (258 nucleotides) under Anser brachyrhynchus (Pink-footed goose). RNAcentral describes it as "lncRNA (ENSABRG00000015386.1)". The record is from RNAcentral. Lineage: Eukaryota; Metazoa; Chordata; Aves; Anseriformes; Anatidae.